AUGGCAUGAAAUUUAACUGUUAAGAUGAUUUUCUAGCUCCAAAAUUAAUUGAAAAAUUCAUACAUUUAGAACUAACUGGAGCAGUAAUUCUAAAAUGGAUUACAAAAAGAGAUUAUAUAGUGGAGGAACACUUGGUAAAAGUAGAUCAAGUGGGUAUAAUAACAUUGUGACAAUAAUAAAGACAAAAUUGGGGCCAUGACAAUGUAUUUGUAGAGAUCAAAGACUUUCCAGUCACAAUUGUCCUUGAUCAAAGCUACCAUUUGCAUGUUUAUAGCUACCAUUUUACCAUAUUAUAAGAAGAGGAUACUACUAUUGUAGUUGCUAGAAUCUUCGGGUGCUGGUUCCAAGGACCUGGGAUCAAGUCCCAGCAUCAUCCGGAAUUCAGCUGAGAUUUCUCCUGUCCUAGUUUUUGAAACAAAUAGAUGCACUAACUCUAGUAUAUAUCUGUGAUAACCCAGCCCA
This 462-nucleotide long non-coding RNA is filed under the name Elaeis guineensis (African oil palm). RNAcentral describes it as "long non-coding RNA (EGUI_LNC038520)". The record is from RNAcentral. Lineage: Eukaryota; Viridiplantae; Streptophyta; Magnoliopsida; Arecales; Arecaceae.